Molecule: long non-coding RNA, 241 nt
Filed under: Elaeis guineensis (African oil palm)
Lineage: Eukaryota; Viridiplantae; Streptophyta; Magnoliopsida; Arecales; Arecaceae
Description: long non-coding RNA (EGUI_LNC071431)
Source: RNAcentral
UGCAGCUGCUUUCUCAGCAUCGGCGGCUGCCACCUUAUUCUUCCACACACUAUAGAUGUCGGCAAACUUCGUGUAGCCGACCUUCAGGUCAAACAUAUCAUGGAUCAACUGCAGACAGAGGAUAGGUCGGGUUAUUAAAAAAAAAGAAGAAAGAAAGUUUAUCAAAGAGACAUACCCUGAUGAUGGUCGGAUAAAAGGAUGAAAAUAUUUCGACCACCGACCGUUUCCUCUGACGCUCCCG